GACGAACCGUGCGAACGUUAUUCGGAAUCACUGGGCUUAAAGCGCGUGUAGGCGGGCCGGCACGUCGGUGCCUGAAAGCCCCCGGCUCAACCGGGGAAGCGGGGCCGAUACGGCCGGCCUGGAGGGGCGUAGGGGGACCUGGAACUUCCGGUGGAGCGGUGAAAUGCGUUGAGAUCGGAAGGAACGCCCGUGGCGAAAGCGAGGUCCUGGACGCCUGCUGACGCUGAGACGCGAAAGCCAGGGUAGCGAACGGG
Molecule: ribosomal RNA, 254 nt
Filed under: uncultured bacterium
Lineage: Bacteria
Description: partial 16S ribosomal RNA
Rfam family: Bacterial small subunit ribosomal RNA
Source: RNAcentral